Molecule: non-coding RNA, 242 nt
Organism: Pelobates cultripes (western spadefoot toad)
Lineage: Eukaryota; Metazoa; Chordata; Amphibia; Anura; Pelobatidae
Source: the annotation of a GenBank genome assembly
CUCUGUUGCCAUUGGUAAAGAAGUUGUGUUGAGCUUUGCAUAAGAGAUACGUUGUUUUGGCUAACUAUAUGUUUUUCAAUUGGCUUUGGAGGGCUAAUAAUUUUUUGUAAGUGGUCUUGCUUGGUUCUCGCUUUUUGGAGUGUGUCAGUGUAGUGAUUUCUGCUACCAGCGAGUCAUAUUUUGCCAUCCUUAGUUUUUUGGCUCGACUGGCAUGUUUUAUGAGACUACCCUGUAUGACCGCU